GAUGCUAAUACCGGAUAACAACACUAGACGCAUGUCUAGAGUUUAAAAGAUGGUUCUGCUAUCACUCUUGGAUGGACCUGCGGUGCAUUAGCUAGUUGGUAAGGUAACGGCUUACCAAGGCAAUGAUGCAUAGCCGAGUUGAGAGACUGAUCGGCCACAUUGGGACUGAGACACGGUCCAAACUCCUACGGGAGGCAGCAGAC
Molecule: ribosomal RNA, 203 nt
Filed under: uncultured bacterium
Lineage: Bacteria
Description: partial 16S ribosomal RNA
Rfam family: Bacterial small subunit ribosomal RNA
Source: RNAcentral